UACGUAGGGUGCAAGCGUUAAUCGGAAUUACUGGGCGUAAAGCGUGCGCAGGCGGUUUUGCAAGUCUGUCGUGAAAGCCCCGGGCUCAACCUGGGAAUUGCGAUGGAGACUGCAAGGCUUGAAUCUGGCAGAGGGGGGUAGAAUUCCACGUGUAGCAGUGAAAUGCGUAGAGAUGUGGAGGAACACCGAUGGCGAAGGCAGCCCCCUGGGUCAAGAUUGACGCUCAUGCACGAAAGCGUGGGGAGCAAACAGG
Molecule: ribosomal RNA, 253 nt
Filed under: uncultured bacterium
Lineage: Bacteria
Description: partial 16S ribosomal RNA
Rfam family: Bacterial small subunit ribosomal RNA
Source: RNAcentral